CCUACGGGUGGCAGCAGUAGGGAAUUUUGCGCAAUGGGCGAAAGCCUGACGCAGCAACACCGCGUGAAUGUUAAGCCCUUCGGGGUGUAAAGUUCUGUCAAUAGGGACGAAUUUUGACUGUACCUAUAAAGGAAGCACCGGCUAACUCCGUGCCAGCAGCCGCGGUAAUACGGGGGGUGCAAGCGUUGUCCGGAAUCAUUGGGCGUAAAGCGUUCGUAGGCGGUAUGUCAAGUCAAGGGUGAAAUCCCCGCGCUCAACGUGGGAACUGCCUUUGAAACUGGCAAACUGGAGUGUGUGAGAGGAUAGUGGAAUUCCAGGUGUAGGAGUGAAAUCCGUAGAGAUCUGGAGGAACAUCAGUGGCGAAGGCGACUAUCUGGCACAUAACUGACGCUGAGGAGCGAAAGCGUGGGUAGCAAACAGGAUUAGAUACCCCAGUAGUC
This 440-nucleotide ribosomal RNA is filed under the name uncultured bacterium. Its description in RNAcentral is "partial 16S ribosomal RNA". It matches the Rfam family "Bacterial small subunit ribosomal RNA", at positions 338 to 795 of the family's 1533-position model. The record is from RNAcentral.